This 1033-nucleotide long non-coding RNA is filed under the name Heterocephalus glaber (naked mole-rat). RNAcentral's name for it is "lncRNA (ENSHGLG00100037911.1)". The record is from RNAcentral. Lineage: Eukaryota; Metazoa; Chordata; Mammalia; Rodentia; Bathyergidae.
GGGCUAAGGUCCUGAGGGUGGGAGAAACUGACUUCCUCCCAGGGACUGCCUGAGGAGGCUUUCCUUUCUCUCCUGGGUCUCACAGGAACUAGUGCUGAGGAUGAACGGGAUGGAAAGGAAGAGGCCUAUUAUUUUGUUUUUCAGAUUGAGAGUCUGUUAUUAGCAAUUUAUUACAUCCGGGUCUGCAGCCAAGCACAUUCUGUUUUCCAGUGUCGGGGGAAGACACUUGGGGAGACGGGGCAAGAGGCCGGGCCGGAAGGAGGUCUGGAUCAACAGUUUCAUAACUGACGAUGUGUUGGCUUGGCUGUGCAAGCGGAGGGUUUAGCAGGACCAGUUUGAGCCCAGCCUGGUGUGCGGAGGCGUCUUCCGGAUGGCAUUGGACUCCCAAGGGACCCCAAAUCACCGAAAGCAGGGGUCUUACUAAGUUAUCCAGGCAGGACUUGAAUUCACAGUCCUCCUGCCUCAGCCUCCCGGGUGUUGGGAUUACAGGUGUGUACCACUUCACCCUGGCUAAUUUCUCCCAUUUUUGUUUUGUUUUGUUUUGUUUUUGGCACCGGGGAUUGAACUCGGGUCCUUGCGCAGCAGGCAGCUGAAACCACUGAGCUAAAUCCCUGGCCCAAUUUCUCCCAUUUUUAAUAAAUACCUGAAAAUAAGAAAUGUUUCACUUUUACCUCAUCGCAGUUAUAAGAAUAAUGGAAUCGGGGUGUAGCUCAGAGGUAGAGUGGUUGCCUGGCAUGAAGAGGCCUUGGUUUCCAUCCUUGGUACCCCAAGAGGGAAUAAAUGCCUUACUUGAGGUAGCUGAUAAAUACUUGGUUUCCUUUGGAUGGAGUGAUAGCAACGAAGGCAAACUGGCCUGGGUGUAAGGAGCGCCAGCCACUCAAUUCCAGCUGACUUUCGUCAUUGUGCCAGAAGUUCAGAUCCAGAUUUUAAUGUGCUACCUCUGGGUUUUUACGUUUUGGUAGCUAGUUCUGUACCCAUGCACACACAGACAUAGGCGCACGCAUGAGGUCUUCUACUCCUUAGACACCCCCCC